RNAcentral lists this ribosomal RNA (1118 nucleotides) under Schizopygopsis stoliczkai (false osman). RNAcentral describes it as "partial 16S ribosomal RNA". It matches the Rfam family "Bacterial large subunit ribosomal RNA", at positions 157 to 2065 of the family's 2925-position model. Lineage: Eukaryota; Metazoa; Chordata; Actinopteri; Cypriniformes; Cyprinidae. The record is from RNAcentral.
GCCAAACAGCUAGCUCAAUUACCCAAUAACUAAACAAUAUAAAUAAAACAAAAUAAGCCUAACACCAAAAAUUAAAUCAUUCUUUUACCUUAGUAUGGGCGACAGAAAAGGUUACACCUGGAGCAAUAGAAAAAGUACCGCAAGGGAAAGCUGAAAGAGAAAUGAAAUAACUUAUAUAAGCACCAAAAAGCAAAGAUUAAAUCUUGUACCUUUCGCAUCAUGAUUUAGCCAGUAUAUCCAAGCAAAGAGACCUUUAGUUUGAAACCCCGAAACCAAGUGAGCUACCCCGAGACAGCCUAUUAAGGGCCAACCCGUCUCUGUGGCAAAAGAGUGGGAAGAGCUCCGGGUAGAGGUGACAGACCUACCGAACUUGGUGAUAGCUGGUUGCCUAAGAAGUGAAUAGAAGUUCAGCCUCGUACUCCCUGAAUCAAAAGAUAUAAAAAGAUAUUAGAGGGAAAUAUAUGAGAGUUAGUUAAAGGGGGUACAGCCCCUUUAACAAAGGACACAACCUUUCCAGGAGGAUAAAGAUCAUAAUACAUAAGACAUCCUGUUCUAGUGGGCCUAAAGGCAGCCAUCUAAACAGAAAGCGUUAAAGCUCAGACAGAAAUAAGUUUAUUAUUCCGACAAGAAAUCUUACUCCCCUAAAUAUUAUUAGGCCAGCCCAUGCCCACAUGGGAGAGACUAUGCUAAAAUGAGUAACAAGAAGGCCAGCCCUUCUCCAAGCACAAAUGUAAGCCAAACCGGACCGACCAUUGGCAAUUAACGAACUCAACCCGAGAGAGUAAUGUGUAUUACAACGAAACCAGGAAGAACCCACAAUUAACCCAUCGUUACCCCCACACUGGCGUGCUAUUAAAGGAAAGACUAAAAGAAGGGAAAGGAACUCGGCAAACACAAGCCUCGCCUGUUUACCAAAAACAUCGCCUCCUGCAACACAACCAAGUAUAGGAGGUCCAGCCUGCCCAGUGACUACAAGUUCAACGGCCGCGGUAUUUUGACCGUGCAAAGGUAGCGCAAUCACUUGUCUCUUAAAUGGAGACCUGUAUGAAUGGCUAAACGAGGGCUUAACUGUCUCCCCCCUCCAGUCAGUGAAAUUGAUCUACCCGUGCAGAAGCGGG